UUUCUUUCUUUCAUUCUCUCUUUUCGUUUUACUGAAACACACACACACCCACCUGCCAGCCUCCACUCCAAAACACACAAUCUCACCAUCAUUUUUCCGGCAAGAUCACCGGAAAAAUACUUAGGAACUCCAAAGCAUCUUCAUCAUUUUAUUUGAGGUUUUAGGUAAUCUCCCCUUGGAGCUUGGAGAAUUAGGAUUUUGUGGUUGCGAGGUAAGUAGCUUUUUAAUGGGUAUUUUUGGAAAAUAAC
Molecule: long non-coding RNA, 248 nt
Organism: Quercus robur (English oak)
Lineage: Eukaryota; Viridiplantae; Streptophyta; Magnoliopsida; Fagales; Fagaceae
Exons: 2
Source: RefSeq, a predicted model, not a curated record